AGCUCCAAUAGCGUAUAUUAAAGUUGUUGCGGUUAAAAGCUCGUAGUUGGAUUUCUGUUGAGGUCGACCGGUGUACGCUUCGCGUAUUAUUUGGUUCGGUCUUGGCAUCCUCUUGAAGACGUCUUCCUUCAUUGGAGGACGGGUUCAAGACUUUUACUUUGAGGAAAUUAGAGUGUUCACGGCAGGCAAGUGCUUUGAAUACAUUAGCAUGGAAUAAUAAUAUAGGACCUUCUGUUCUAUUUUGUUGGUUUCUAGAACGUGGGUAAUGAUUAAUAGGGACAAUUGGGGGCAUUCGUAUUAACGCGUCAGAGGUGGAAUUCUUGGAUUGCGUUACGACGAACUACUGCGAAAGCAUUUGCCAAAGAUGUUUUCA
Molecule: ribosomal RNA, 373 nt
Filed under: uncultured eukaryote
Lineage: Eukaryota
Description: SSU rRNA
Rfam family: Eukaryotic small subunit ribosomal RNA
Source: RNAcentral